GGGAAUGUAGCUUAGUGGUAGAGUGCUUGCCUAGUAUGCAUGAAGCCCUGGGUUCGAUUCCUCAGUACCA
RNAcentral lists this transfer RNA (70 nucleotides) under Dipodomys ordii (Ord's kangaroo rat). It matches the Rfam family "tRNA". Rfam says of the family: Transfer RNA (tRNA) molecules are approximately 80 nucleotides in length. Their secondary structure includes four short double-helical elements and three loops (D, anti-codon, and T loops). Lineage: Eukaryota; Metazoa; Chordata; Mammalia; Rodentia; Heteromyidae. The record is from Rfam by way of RNAcentral.